Molecule: long non-coding RNA, 6337 nt
Organism: Corvus hawaiiensis (hawaiian crow)
Lineage: Eukaryota; Metazoa; Chordata; Aves; Passeriformes; Corvidae
Exons: 9
Source: RefSeq, a predicted model, not a curated record
GAAGAGGUGCAGCAGCAGCGACUCUCCCUCCGGCGGCUGCAGCAGCAGAGCCAGGCACACUGCAAUCCCAUUAGUGAGUGGCGGCCACUACCCACUGAGUUGCUGGAAGUACUGACAAAUAGUUUUGUAAGUUAGAAGACAAGCAGGAUUCAAAGGUGAAAAAAUAUCUCUUCUCUGGAAAUUCAUUUCCAUUUACUUAAAGUUAAAUGGUUUGACUUUGAAUUUUCAUUAUCUGCUGUUGGAAGGAGUCUGUGACAGGUGAAGAAGAAUCUGUGAGUGGGAAUAAUGCAAAAUCAUUUGACUUUUGAGAGACUCCAAACUCUUCAAACCACUGUUAUAACACAUGAUGCUUGACGUUGCCAAUCAUUCUGUCUUCCUUUUACUUGAUCAAGAUUUUAUUUUCAAAGACAUAUUUGUAAACACCAAACGGAGAAGAGGGGAGGAAGGACAGAAAGUGGAGAACAGGAGGGAAAGGAAAUGCAGUUUUGCAGCUUCUUCUUGGUCCACGGAAGUGCUACUUUGGGAUGGUGGGUCAGGAAACUGAGUCUGAAUUUCUUCAAAUCUUUGUAAGAGGCAUCAGGAUACAUUCAGCUUCGGAAUCCUACCUGAUUUUAUCUGCCAAGAACAUCAUUCCAAAACCUGUAAAGGAUCCAAAAUGCAGCGGUGAAAGCAAUUUCUGGCACCUGUGGGAACAGCCAGCAUUUUUUCCAAUUUCUGUGUCUCCAAACCUUUAUACCAAACUAAUAGUUUUACUUCAUUUUGGCCAUAAUCUUAAAUGCUCCCAAACUCACUUGUGUUUUAUUUGAUUGAAGCAUGUUUAACUGAUUUUUUAGUUUGGAAUGCAGUGCUGUCUCCUCUACAAACUUUUCACUAAAAAUAAAAAGCAUAUAAGACAUAUUGACUAUUAAUUACCAAUGCAACCUAUAUUAUUUAAUCAGAAAUUUCAGUUGCCUUAGGCACUGGAGAAAUAAGAGAUGCUGCUGAGAAAUACGUUAUUUUGUAAAUGACACUACAUCAUCUGGUAUGCUGAACUCAUAAACGUAGUGGAAGAUGAACUUAUACUUCUGAGUGGGUCUAGUCAUUAGAAAUAGUUACAAGCAUCACAUAAUUUACACUGUUUAUAAGGCAAGCAGAAAUGGCUACAAAUAUACUAGCUAUAGAAUUCAACAAACCCUUGACUUUUAGAAAUUUUAAAUGAGAAGAAAUUUUCAACAUGUUUUGUAUGAUUAAGUAGUCUGAUUUCUUUAAUGGAUGUAUUGACUAAAGUCAGUUGAAACCACAAGCUCUCAGUACUGCUGAAAACCAGGACUAUUUUAGUUAAAGACACAAAUGAAGAUUUAGGAGACAGGUAUGACUAUAUAUAGCAUGUUGACUAUUGCUUCAAAUAAAACCAGAUGAGAAAAUGACAUGAAAUGCAACAUUAUUUUUGCCAAGCACAGUUUAGCAGAAAAUCUCUGCUAAAAUCCUGCUCUGAACAGGAAAAUCUUGUUCCCCAUCCAAGUUUGGAAGGGAAAGAGAACAGGUUCCUUUAUAAAUCUUGCUACUGAAAACACUACAGGCUUUCCCAGUUGUACAUGAUUGAGAAAGGAUUCUGAGACAGACAGGUACUCACAAGUCUAAGCUUAUUCUUGAGUAGCUGGUCUGUGAGCCAAAGCCAAAACAACUUUUUGAGGCUGAUCAUUUCUCUAUAUAAUACACUUAAAGUCUUAUGUUUUAUUGCAAGUGACAGAAAUAUAUAACUAAUUAUUUAGGCUCCCUUGCUGCUUUUGGAGGGCACUUUGCAGAGAAAAAAGCAUGCUUUUUGAAGUUCCAGACACAUAAAAGAAAUGUGGCAGACCACUUCUACUGACAAGCUAACAGACACAUAAAUUUCUGGCUAGACCUUACUCAAAUGAAACUUACUAAAACUUUCAUGAAAGAAUGCAAACUCUUUUUAUUGUUGGUUCUCAUUCUUUACAGCUCCAAAUCUCUCCUGACCCACAAAAUAGCUAUACAUUGUUAGUUUAGGAAAUCAGUUGUGCCAAUUAUUAGUCUCAUUAUAUCUGGUAUUUCAGGGGCUAGAACUAUGUGUUUACCUGAGAAUCUUGUGUUUAAUUUAAAAAGUAAGAUUCUGCUUCUGGCGCUCGUUGUUUUCUGUGAAAAGCUAGAAAACAUGAACUCAAGGGACUUAAAGAGGAAUAAAAAGCAUAAAUAAAUAAAAUAAACAUAUGUUUGUAGCUAUGAUGAUCUCAAGAAUUAGAAGUCCUUUUUUUUUAAUUUUCUUCGUCCACAUUUUGUGUUGCAACAGAAGAAAUAACAGGAGUAAGACACCCAGGCUUCCCCCUCUACAGCUCAGCAACUUGUGUUCAUUCCUUCACCCUUGAAGCUGAGGUUAGGCUACACUUGACUUUCUGUGAAAACCCCGAAAAGUCAUCUAAUCUCCAGGAGAUCAGUGAAGAAUGGAAAACUUACUUAUAGUGGAUUUCAGAUUUAAUGAGACAAAGAUGGUUCAAUAUAUAUGACAAAAUGAUGUGCUCUCACCAUAUUUGAUAGACAGGAAUUGAAGAUGAAAAGCUCUGUAUCUCUCAGCCACCCUUUCAGCUCUUUGAUCCUGACCUCCAGCUGCCUUACCAGGCUGCCGCUUUCAGGCGAGAGCAGGUCACGUGGACCUAACCCACUGUGCCCUACCAUUGUGUCUUGGAUCUUCUCUCCUAGGGUUUUCUAAUGCAUCAGAUAAAAAAAACAUAGAUUAGUCUUAUGUACCAAAACAUAUAUGGGUUAAUGUGCAACAAGAAGAAUCUGUUAAAUGACUAGAGAUGUGUUUUUUUAAAUAAUUAUGACUAAUAUCAAUCAGUUUCAUUCUUUGUGUCCUUGUUUCAAUCAAUUUCAUUUUUUGUACCCUUGUUUCUCACUUAUGCUGUUCUCUCUGGGUCACUGACUUUGCUAGAAGGAUUAUAAAUCAGUGUUUACCAAGAGCAAUUAAGGACAGAGGAGACAAAACGCUUCAUAACUUUGUAAACUAGUUACUCUACAGAAUUUGUCUGUGGCUUUAGAAACUUAUGACCAUAAGAGUUACAGGUUUCUAGGCAGCAACAGAAAAUAUGACAAUCACUGAGUUCACCAGACUCCUAUCCAAGGUACCAUCUAAAUUUUUUGGCAAAACACUGAGAUAUUUUUUGUGGUAUGAACUGUCAGGUCAUAAUUUCCAAACAUGUAGCCCUGAGGCUGUAUAGAGGAGCAGUUAGGUCACAAAACAGAUAGUUUGUUGUUAAAAGUGGAUGAACUCAUUCAGACACCAAAAAUCCUCACUGUUGCUGAACAUAAGGCAAAUUUUUAAGGCAACCAAAUUCAAAUUUCAGUUCUCCAUGUUAAGCAUCCACUUUAAAAUAAUGGACCCGAGUAAACCUUCACCUCUUAUUGCUAAUGAAACUAAUUUACUAUAGCUUUUCAAAUUAGUAUUUCUAAUAACAGAAUCACUGAAUUACAUUUUGAUAGUGGACGCUGGGUGCUUAAUGAGUAUUCUGAAGAGGCCAGGGAUAGAAAGCUACCUUCCUUUUCAGUGUUUUGAAAGGCAAUCCUUUAACAUCACAAGGGAGAUGUGCUGUUGCCUGCUUCUUCUAUGCCAAGCAGUAUUUUAUCUGACCUAUAAGAGGCUGUCAGGCUGACACUUAUUAUAAGCACUAGAUCUGUGUUACUGAUUGUAGAAUAUUGAAUAUACACUGACACUCACAUCCAAUAACCUUUUAAACUGAUAAUUAGUGGUGGUUAAUUGUUGUAACAUGAAGAUACAGUUUUUAGGUGACCCAGUAUGUCUGUCUAUUGAAAGUGCAUGCCAUAGAAAGUUACUGGAAUAUAAUUUAUUACAAUGAAAUUAGCUUCCAAAAAUAAGCUUUAAAACACAAAUAAAAUUAGAGCAACAGAUAAUUAUCUGCUAUGUGGCAUUCUGUAAAUCACGUCUUUAGGAGAUCAUAACUGAAAAACAUGCUUUCCUGGCAACACCCUUCUAUUUUCAUGGUGCAAAUAUUGAUAAUUUGAAGACCCUCAGUGGAAUCCAGCACUAGCUAUUGUUUUUAUGCUGUAACAAAAGUAGCAGCAGGAGGUGAAAUCAAUGCCCUUGGAGGGUAGGGUCACAAAAAAGAAUUUAUUGCCACUUUUUUUGUUCUGGAACAGUUUGCAAUCAUAAAUUCUUCAUAAACAGAAUACUUCAGAGAAUGGUCCGUCUUCAUAAAUAUACGACAGAGGACAUCAAUUUCAUUUAAUUCACAAUUUGUGUCAGCACAGCAGAUGCCAAUGCCUGCCUUGAUAGGGUUGUUUAAUAUGCAAUUGAGACAGAGUAAUAUUCAGCACAGGGGACAAAAUUUCACAGAUUAAACUGUACGCACCACUGACAUUUCAUUCUAAUGUAUUUCCAUUCCACAGUGUUCACCUUAGAUGAAAGUAAUAUUAAAAACCAUAUCCCUCUAUUUUGCCAUUGUUAGAAGUUAAAAUCCUUGUCUUUAAUUUUUUUCAUGCCAAUUAAAAUGUAAUCAUGCCAAUUAAAACAGUAUGUCUAGUGCUGUUAGUUUCUGCAGAGGUUUUUAUUAAAUUAAACAAAACUCUAUCAAACUCUUAUUAUUAUUCAUAAAACUGCAUUUAAAAGAAAAAAUGUAAUAGUUAUAUUUUAUUUUUCUGUAAAUGUUGAAAUUAAUGGCAAAUCUUAAUCUGGAGGUAUAUUUUGAUUUUAGCAUACUGAGAAGCAAAAGGCUGCAAAAUUUUUAAAGACUUUUUUUCUAGAUUUUUAGAAUUAUGAUCUUAUUUCAUAGUUUUAAAUCCUACCAGUUUUAAUCAGUGCCACAGAAUUAAGCUGAUUGUAUACACUGAAAUUCAUAAAUUUAAGGCUUACAUCUGAAAUUAUUUUAAAAAUAAAAGUUGUCAUGAUCAGAUGUAAAAGACUGGCUUAAUAAGUCCUUUUUUUAUCAGUAAAUUUAUUAAUGAUCAAACAAGUUCAAAAUGCUUAUGGUGAUGCUGCAGAUUAAAAGUAAUAAGAUCACUGGUCAUAAGGCAAAUUUUAAUAUUUUCUGACAAUUUGCACAUUUAGAGAAUCAAGUGAUUAGAAGCAACUGUGCUUAACUAAAAAAGCCCCCCCCUCUGAAAUGGCUAAUGCAUUACCACAUAACCUAAAGUGACACAAGUCAGUAUUUAAAAUGCUGUUGGCAGGUUGCAUGUAUAGCUUACUCAUAAUAUAUUAGAAAUAUUUUUUAAACUAGGAUAAUAACAUGCAAAAUUAUGCAAUGUAACUGUAUUCCUAAUAUCACACAUCUAUAAUUAAUCAUUUAAAGUAAUUUAUAAAUUUAUCUUACCCUUGAUUUGAAGUGAAGGCAAUUAAGGAGAGAAGUGGAUGGAAAAAUAUAUAGUUUGACCUCUCUCUCUCUCUCUCAGCUGUUUUACAACAAUAGGACAAUAGUGUCUCCUGCACAGUGCCAUCACCGGUCUCUGGGUAACAGAAUCCCUAUAUUGCUUUUUUUGCCAGAUUCUUGUAUCUCACUCUUUGGCUGAGACCCAGCCCAUCAUAGCGUGAAAUGAAUUACAUGAAACUUUUUUGGCUUUUGUCAAAAGUGAGAUGAAUACAGCAGCAUGAAACGUAUCCUGGCUGUAUUUUCAGCUUCAGGUAUGCAGAUUUGUACUGAAUCUGUAUAUUUGUUUUUGAGCCAUCAGUGUGACCUGAAAUAUGCAGUGACAACCCCACUUUUCAUCUUAAAGGUAUAGUAAAUAGUUAAACAGUAGAUGUCUCUAAUAUGUACCUUCAGAAUAAAUUCUAUUAACAUUCACUCAAGCAUGACAGUCAGUGUAUAUCAGAUAUACUGCAUUAUAGUUGACUUGGUGCAUACCCGUAAUACAUGGCAUAUUUUACUUACAUUUUUUAUGUAUUAAAGAACUAAAAUUAUUAAAGUCAGACAGGAGACAAGCAUGGAAUAAAAAAAAUCAGCACAAGAGGAAAAGGCUAUGGAGUUUUUAUAAUAGAAUGAGUAGCUUCUUUGAAACGUACGUGGUGGAUUGAAAGAGAGAGAUAUUUGUGCUCCAAAUUAGAAAUCAAACAGACAGUGUACUUCAACACACAAAAAUGUACACAUAACCCACAAACAGUAAUAAAAAUGCAAAUACCCCAAGCAGUUCCCAUUUUUCAUUAAUUGAAUCCACUUUUUCAAGGAGAUCGUUUGGUAGUAAAACACCACUUUUCUUCAGAGCUUCAACCUUACUAAGCAGUUCCAUCUUUUUCGGGUGCCUGAUUGACAUUUCUACAUUGUAUCUCUAAAAUGAAAAGAAAUAUGUGUUGUUAGCUGCUGUAGAGAAUCUUCUCCAUAAAAAAAAAAAAUUUUAA